AAUGCGACCGGAGGGCACUCCCUGGUAAACUGGAAGACUGUGUGCAGGCCAAAGGCCCUAGGUGGGUUGGGAAUCAUAGACCUAGAGAGAUUUGGUCGGGCUCUCCGCUUACGCUGGCCAUGGCUAAUGUGGACCGACCCUGGCCGUCAGUGGGUGGGCUCUGCCCUACCAUGCGACAACUCGGAUAUGGCGCUAUUCAGAGCUUCGACCUCCAUCGUGCUGGGUAACGGCCACAAAGCUCUGUUCUGGCAUGAUGACUGGACCGGAAAGGGUCCCCUUAGGAUGCUUGCUCCCGGAUUAUACAAAAUCGCCACAAGAAAGCAGAGAACAGUGUACAAGGAGUUGCAUGAGGAUAACUGGAUCAGAUCAGUCGCCCGCCUUCAGUCCCCCAUACACCUGCAGGAAUUCAUCUCGAUAGCAUCUCUGACCUCCCAGGUUACUCUGUCUACGGACAGGGAGGACUCCAUCUCCUGGCGUUGGACUACAAAUGGAAUCUACUCCGCGGCUUCGGCAUAUACAGCCCAAUUCUCUGGCUCCUUUCCCAGGUUCUCGCCGACGAAGAUUUGGGAGGCACACGCGGAACCCAAAUGCAAGCACUUUUCCUGGCUGGUGCUCCAUGGAAAGAUCCUCACGGCCGACAUGCUCGCUAUUCGCGGAUGGCCGCACGAUCCUACAUGCCCGCUGUGUCUGGGAGCACCGGAGACGGCAACUCACCUCUGCAAGGACUGCCCAUUUGCGAUUGCGGUUUGGUCGCAUGUUCAGGCAUGGACCGGGGAGGCGCCGACGAACAUGAUGACAAUUCCGCCUCCCAUGGGAGUCUCCGACUGGUGGGAUCGGCUCAUCUGUCCCCUGUCCAAGGACGAAAGACGCCGGCGUAGCGGUCACUUCCUCUACACCAUUUGGAAUAUCUGGAAGGAGCGCAACCGCCGGAUAUUCAUCGGCACCCGCCUCACUCACCUAGAGGUGGCGGCCAUUGCGCUCGACGACAUAAGAAUGCGGGCUUGCGCCUUUGGCAGGGCACAAGUGGCGACCGGCAUUGGGUGA
This 1044-nucleotide ribosomal RNA is filed under the name Triticum aestivum (bread wheat). RNAcentral describes it as "partial small subunit ribosomal RNA". The record is from RNAcentral. Lineage: Eukaryota; Viridiplantae; Streptophyta; Magnoliopsida; Poales; Poaceae.